AUUGAACGCUGGCGGCAGGCCUAACACAUGCAAGUCGAGCGGAUGAAGGGAGCUUGCUCCUGGAUUCAGCGGCGGACGGGUGAGUAAUGCCUAGGAAUCUGCCUGGUUGUGGGGGAUAACGUCCGGACACGGGCGCUAAUACCGCAUACGUCCUGAGGGAGAAAGUGGGGGAUCUUCGGACCUCACGCUAUCAGAUGAGCCUAGGUCGGAUUAGCUAGUUGGUGGGGUAAAGGCCUACCAAGGCGACGAUCCGUAACUGGUCUGAGAGGAUGAUCAGUCACACUGGAACUGAGACACGGUCCAGACUCCUACGGGAGGCAGCAGUGGGGAAUAUUGGACAAUGGGCGAAAGCCUGAUCCAGCCAUGCCGCGUGUGUGAAGAAGGUCUUCGGAUUGUAAAGCACUUUAAGUUGGGAGGAAGGGCAGUAAGUUAAUACCUUGCUGUUUUGACGUUACCAACAGAAUAAGCACCGGCUAACUUCGUG
RNAcentral lists this ribosomal RNA (484 nucleotides) under uncultured bacterium. RNAcentral describes it as "partial 16S ribosomal RNA". It matches the Rfam family "Bacterial small subunit ribosomal RNA", at positions 30 to 507 of the family's 1533-position model. The record is from RNAcentral.